This 88-nucleotide microRNA precursor is filed under the name Canis lupus familiaris (dog). RNAcentral's name for it is "mir-8799 microRNA precursor family". It matches the Rfam family "mir-8799 microRNA precursor family". RNAcentral also lists the same sequence under 1 other name. Lineage: Eukaryota; Metazoa; Chordata; Mammalia; Carnivora; Canidae. The record is from Rfam by way of RNAcentral.
GGGGGGAGGCCGGAUCUUGGGCUGUGUCCUGGCGCCCAGUGCUCCUGGGCCUGCACUUGGAUUCGCGCUCCAUACCCCGCAGCCCCCU